Molecule: ribosomal RNA, 187 nt
Filed under: uncultured bacterium
Lineage: Bacteria
Description: partial 16S ribosomal RNA
Rfam family: Bacterial small subunit ribosomal RNA
Source: RNAcentral
CACCAGUGGCGAAGGCGGCCUGCUGGACAUCAACUGACGCUGAGGCGCGAAAGCGCGGGGAGCAAACAGGAUUAGAUACCCUGGGUAGUCCACACCGUAAACGAUGUACACUAGGUGUUGGGGGAUGAACCUCAGUGCCGAAGCAAACGUGAUAAGUGUACCGCCUGGGGAGUAUGCCCGCAAGGGU